UACCUGCAGCUCAAGUGGUGACCACUAUUAUUGGGCCUAAAACGUUCGUAGCCGGUUUAUUAAAUGCUUGGGUAAAUCGUGUAGCUUAACUAUACGAAUUCCGGGUAGACUGAUAGGCUUGAGACCGGGAGAAGCUAGAGGUACUCCUGGGGUAGAGGUGAAAUUCUGUAAUCCUGGGGGGACCACCAGUGGCGAAGGCGUCUAGCUAGAACGGGUCUGACGGUGAGGAACGAAGCCCUGGGGCGCAAACCGGAUUAGAUACCCGGGUAGUCCAGGGUGUAAACGCUGCUUGCUUGAUGUUAGUUGGGCUCCGAGCCCAAUUAGUGUCGGAGAGAAGUUGUUAAGCAAGCUGCCUGGGAAGUACGAUCGCAAGAUUGAAACUUAAAGGAAUUGGCGGGGGAGCACAGCAACGGGUGGAGCGUGCGGUUU
Molecule: ribosomal RNA, 429 nt
Filed under: uncultured archaeon
Lineage: Archaea
Description: bacterial SSU rRNA
Rfam family: Archaeal small subunit ribosomal RNA
Source: RNAcentral